This 219-nucleotide unclassified non-coding RNA is filed under the name Hevea brasiliensis (rubber tree). Lineage: Eukaryota; Viridiplantae; Streptophyta; Magnoliopsida; Malpighiales; Euphorbiaceae. The record is from RNAcentral.
GAAAGAACGAUAUCAACUUUCGACAAUACUAGAUACAUGCAGAAGCAGCAAGGCGAGGAACAUACACAAGCGGCUCAUGCACAUUCGAACGAUCCCGUGGUCUGCGUGCGUGAACAUAAAAAAAUCAUCUCGGCUGCUACAAAGCGAAGGUGUCGUAACACUGGGACAGAAUGUUUUACAACAGAAGGCGGGAGGUCAUAGCGUGAGGCGACGGGGGAC